AGGAAUAUUGGUCAAUGGACGAGAGUCUGAACCAGCCAAGUAGCGUGAAGGAUGAAGGUCCUACGGAUUGUAAACUUCUUUUAUAAGGGAAUAAACCCUCCCACGUGUGGGAGCUUGUAUGUACCGUAUGAAUAAGCAUCGGCUAACUCCGUGCCAGCAGCCGCGGUAAUACGGAGGAUGCGAGCGUUAUCCGGAUUUAUUGGGUUUAAAGGGAGCGCAGACGGGAGAUUAAGUCAGUUGUGAAAGUUUGCGGCUCAACCGUAAAAUUGCAGUUGAUACUGGUUUCCUUGAGUGCAGUUGAGGCAGGCGGAAUUCGUGGUGUAGCGGUGAAAUGCUUAGAUAUCACGAAGAACCCCGAUUGCGAAGGCAGCUUGCUAAACUGUAACUGACGUUCAUGCUCGAAAGUGUGGGUAUCAAACAGGAUUAGAUACCCUGGUAGUCCACACGGUAAACGAUGGAUACUCGCUGUUGGCGAUAUACUGUCAGCGGCCAAGCGAAAGCAUUAAGUAUCCCACCUGGGGAGUACGCCGGCAACGGUGAAACUCAAAGGAAUUGACGGGGGCCCGCACAAGCGGAGGAACAUGUGGUUUAAUUCGAUGAUACGCGAGGAACCUUACCCGGGCUUAAAUUGCAGACGAAUUACGAGGAAACUUGUAAGCCGCAAGGCGUCUGUGAAGGUGCUGCAUGGUUGUCGUCAGCUCGUGCCGUGAGGUGUCGGCUUAAGUGCCAUAACGAGCGCAACCCUCGUGGUCAGUUACUAACAGGUUAAGCUGAGGACUCUGGCCAGACUGCCAUCGUAAGAUGUGAGGAAGGUGGGGAUGACGUCAAAUCAGCACGGCCCUUACGUCCGGGGCUACACACGUGUUACAAUGGGAGGUACAGAAGGCAGCUACCCGGCAACGGGAUGCCAAUCCCCAAAACCUCUCUCAGUUCGGACUGGAGUCUGCAACCCGACUCCACGAAGCUGGAUUCGCUAGUAAUCGCGCAUCAGCCACGGCGCGGUGAAUACGUUCCCG
This 1016-nucleotide ribosomal RNA is filed under the name uncultured bacterium. RNAcentral's name for it is "bacterial SSU rRNA". It matches the Rfam family "Bacterial small subunit ribosomal RNA", at positions 357 to 1376 of the family's 1533-position model. The record is from RNAcentral.